AAGUCGUAACAAGGUUUCCGUAGGUGAACCUGCGGAAGGAUCAUUAUCACGUAUCCAAACGUAUCAACCAUUGUGAACUGUUCUUGACCUAUGGAUUUAAAAAAGAGGUAGUGUUAAUUUUAACAACUUAUGAAUAACAUUUUAUUGUUGAUUUGAGUUAUUCGUUAUUAUUAACCAAUGGUAUUUUUCGAAAGAAAAUUACUGUACUCUUUUUUUCCGUAGUGUAUUUUCCAAAUCACUUAAUUUAUUAACAAUUUAAAUUUAAAAAAAACAAUUUAUAAUUUGAACUGAUUUAAUUUCUUUUCUCUUUUAACGAAGAGACUGAAAUAAUAUUACGAAACAUAAGAACAACUCUUAGCAACGGAUAUCUUGGUUCUC
This 378-nucleotide unclassified non-coding RNA is filed under the name fungal sp. RNAcentral describes it as "partial internal transcribed spacer region". The stretch from base 1 to 46 matches the Rfam family "Eukaryotic small subunit ribosomal RNA", at positions 1786 to 1831 of the family's 1831-position model. The record is from RNAcentral. Lineage: Eukaryota; Fungi.